This 82-nucleotide non-coding RNA is filed under the name uncultured Cetobacterium sp. Its description in RNAcentral is "TPP riboswitch (THI element)". It matches the Rfam family "TPP riboswitch aptamer (THI element)". From Rfam's summary of the family: Vitamin B(1) in its active form thiamin pyrophosphate (TPP) is an essential coenzyme that is synthesised by coupling of pyrimidine and thiazole moieties in bacteria. Lineage: Bacteria; Fusobacteriati; Fusobacteriota; Fusobacteriia; Fusobacteriales; Fusobacteriaceae. The record is from RNAcentral.
ACUACUAGGGGUGCCCUUUCGGGCUGAGAAUUACCCUUAGAACCUGAUCUAGUUAAUACUAGCGUAGGGAAGUAGUCAAAAU